GAGCCCCCAUCCCCAUCCCCCAUCACUACCACCAUUUCCUCCGUUAACACUCUCACCAUUCCCUCACCCACUUUCAACCACCACCACCUUCAUUAAUAACCACCACCAAAACCGACUCCCCUAUCCCCUACGCAGCCCCCCACCACGCUCUACUCUCCACCACCAUCAAACCCUUCCCUCUACUCCGCCACCACCGACCCUUCCUUGAAUAGUGCCCUACAUGGAUAUCCUCUCCUCUCUUCACCUGAUGUGACCCCCACAAACAACCAUAACCACCCACCCUAAAUGCAAAGCAACACCAUAAAAAUUCGAACCAACAUUAUCUAUACUCUACAUUUUCACCAUCAAAAUCGACUAUCAAAAUCAACCAUCACCAUUAAAUUGGUGUUGCAGAUGUAGGGUGGUAGGCCUUGUAUGAUGGGAGGCGCUAUCGUAGAGGGAGGUGGAAGGGAGGGGAUGUUGCACAGAUGGGAGAUUAAAGACGGGGAGUUGAGAUUGUUUUUAUUUGAAUUUAAUUUAUCUUUGUUUUGGUAGAAAUCACAUGUUUUAAAAGUUACAUGUAAAAUUGGAUGCUAUUGAAAAACAUACCCUAAAUUUGGUAUUAUUCAGGGUUAAUCGAAAGUUUGUAUUAUUGUAGGAAAAUCGGUGAAAGCUCCUAUUAUUCAAGGUUGUAAGUUCAUCAAUUGGUAACAAAGCCAAAUUGAAGGUUGUUUAGAGGUUUCUUGAUUGAUCUUGUAGAAAGAAUGGCAUCUAUGAAGUUAAAUAUUGAGAAAUUUGAUAGAAAUAAGAAUUUUGGAUUAUGGCAAGUGAAGAUGAAGGUCAUAAUUGUGCAACAUUGAGUGCAAAAGGCUUUGAAUGGUGUGGAGAAGAUGCCUUAUGGGAUGUCUAUGGAAAAGUGGGAAGAGAUUAUCUUAAAGGCUUUGAGUGCAAUCUAAUUACGUCUUUCAAAAGAGGUGCUUAAAGAAGUUGUGAAGGAAUGUACUUCUAAGGGUAUAUGGGACAAACUUGAGUCAAAAUUCAUGGCUAAGAGUGUGACCAAUAGGUUGUUGUUGAAAAGUAGAUCUUAUGAUCUUAGGCUUGAAGAAGGGAGUUCUCUUAAGGCAUUUGGAUGAGUGUUCCACAAUUGUCAUAGAUUUACACAAUAUUGAUGUGGUUGUUGAUGAUUAAGAUUUGGCAAUUUUCUUAUUGAGUUCUUUACCCUGCUCUUAUAAAAACUUUAGAGAGACAUUGCUAUAUGAUAGGGAGAAUCUUAGUAGUGCUGAUGUGAAGAAUUCUUUGAUUAAAAGAGACCGUAUUAAGAACCAAUUGACACAAAAAUAGAAUGUGUCAAAUAAGGGGUUGUUUGUGAGGGGAAGAGCAUAUGAUAGUAGCCUUGGGGGAAAGAACAGGAGUAGGUCCAAGUCUAGGGUAUCCAACAAAGUAAAGACAUGUCAUUAUUGCAAAUUGAAGGGGCACAUAAAGAAAGAUUGUUGGAAAUUGAAGAGGAUUCAAAAGGAGAGUGGCUCUAAAGAUUCUACAUCCAGAGGUGCUAGCUACGUGUUUGAAAGCUAUGAUGGUGGUGCCUUAGUGGUUACCCCAAGGAAUGGAGUCUUGAUUCCAGUUGUUCUUUUCAUAUGACUCCCAAUAGAUUAUUCUUUUACACUUAUGAGAAGGUGGAUGGAGGAAAUGUAAGCUUGGGUAAGGAUGACACUUGCAAGGUGGUGGGCAUUGGUAGUAUGGCUAUCAAGAUGCAUGAUGUGAUGAUUAGGGUGCUUAAUGAUGUUAGGCAUGUACCGGGGUUGAAAAAAAAAUCUCAUAUCCCUAGGUACAAUGGAUGUUUUGGGAUAUAAAUGUUCUUGUAAGGGUAGUUUCAUGAAGAUAAUAAAGCGUUCGCUGAUUUAAAUGGAAGGUAGAAUGGUUGGAUACUUAUAUGUUUUACAAGGAUCUUUGAUUACCGAUUCGUUGAACGUCACCACUUCUACUAUGAGUGAGUAAGAGACCAAGUUAUGACACAUGAGACUUGACCAUUUGAGUGAACAAGAGAUGAAUGUGUUGAGUAAGAAGGGUGUCUUUGAUGGAAAGAAGCUUAGGGUGUUGCCCUUUUGUGAAGAUUAUGUUUACGGGAAGUACAAACGUGUUAGCUUCAAACUCAUUGUUCAUAAUACCAAGGGUAUUCUUAAUUAUUCAUUCGGAUGUUUAGGGUCCUUCAAGAGAAGGGUUUCUUUGGGCAAAUGCAACUACCUUCUUACGUUCAUUGAUGACUACUCAUGAAAGGUUUGGUGUUUUUUUAUUAAGACUAUAGAUGAGGUCAUAGGUGUCUGCAUUAAUUGGAAAACAAUGAUAGAGAAGAAGAUGGAGCGGGACCAAGACAUUGAAGACCGACAAUGGGCUUGAGUUCAUUGAAAAAGAGCUUCUCAAGUUUUGUGCUAAAUAGGGUAUCACAAGGCAUCGCACAUAUGUAGAUAGGCCUCAACAAAAUAAGGUGCUCAAGAGGAUGAACAAGACAUUGCUAGAAAGGGCAAGAUGUAUGUUGAGUCAAGCAAAUCUUGGAAAGGAGUUUUUGGCCGAGGUGGUGUCAAGGGCAUGUUACUUGAUCAAUCGUUCUCCACACACAAUUCUUGACUUCAAGUGUCCCCAAGAGGCAUGGUAUAAGACAUGAUGCUUGUGAGGAGGUGGAGCCUCCUAUGAGUGAGGAAGCAACAAGGAUUGAGAAUGACAUAUAUCAACCGUUAGAAUCAACAUCUCGCAAUGUACUGGGGUCAAAGAGGCAUGUAA
This is a long non-coding RNA of Amaranthus tricolor (Joseph's coat), 2754 nucleotides long. RefSeq lists it as uncharacterized. Lineage: Eukaryota; Viridiplantae; Streptophyta; Magnoliopsida; Caryophyllales; Amaranthaceae. The record is from RefSeq and is a predicted model, not a curated record. The transcript is spliced from 3 exons.